RNAcentral lists this ribosomal RNA (1254 nucleotides) under human gut metagenome. RNAcentral's name for it is "bacterial LSU rRNA". It matches the Rfam family "Bacterial large subunit ribosomal RNA", at positions 1111 to 2436 of the family's 2925-position model. The record is from RNAcentral.
AGCAGCCACUCAUUAAAAGAGUGCGUAAUAGCUCACUGGUCGAGUGACUCUGCGCGGAAAAUAUAACGGGGCUAAGCGUAACACCGAAGCUUGGGCUGCACAGCAAUGUGCGGGGUAGGGGAGCGUCGAAUAUGGGGUGAAGUCGCAGCGGAAGCAGCGGUGGACUGUAUUCGAGUGAGAAUGCCGGAAUGAGUAGCGAGAAUUAUGUGGGAAUCAUAAUGGCCGAAAAUCUAAGGUUUCCUGGGGAAGGUUCGUCCGCCCAGGGUAAGCCGGGAGCUAAGGCGAGGCCGAAAGGCGUAGUCGAUGCACAUACGGUUGAAAUUCCGUAGCCACCGAACCUUAAGUACACUGACACAUGGAGAUAGCGGGACCCGGGCGUUGGUUGACCCGGGCGUAAGGGACCGAACUAUAGUAGGGAAGUCCGCGAUGCUCUGUGGCGAGAAAAGGUGUAUGGUAUGCUAAGGUGCCCGUACCGCAAACCGACACAGGUAGAUGAGGAGAGAAUCCUAAGGCCAACGGGAGAAGGGUUGUUAAGGAACUCGGCAAAAUGACCCCGUAACUUCGGGAUAAGGGGAGCCUCCUACGGGAGGCCGCAGCGAAUAGGCCCAAGCGACUGUUUACCAAAAACACAGGUCUCUGCUAAAUCGAAAGAUGACGUAUAGGGGCUGACGCCUGCCCGGUGCUGGAAGGUUAAGAGGAGAUGUUAGCCGCAAGGCGAAGCAUUGAAUCGAAGCCCCAGUAAACGGCGGCCGUAACUAUAACGGUCCUAAGGUAGCGAAAUUCCUUGUCAGGUAAGUUCUGACCCGCACGAAUGGCGUAACGACUUGGGCGCUGUCUCAACAGCCCACCCGGCGAAAUUGUUGUACUGGUGAAGAAGCCAGUUACCCGCAACUAGACGGAAAGACCCCAUGGAGCUUUACUGUAGCUUAAUACUGGAAAUCGGUAAAUCAUGUACAGGAUAGGUGGGAGACUUGGAAGCCAGGGCGUCAGCUUUGGUGGAGUCAGCCUUGGGAUACCACCCUUGAUUUGCUGGUUUUCUAACCUGCGGCCGUGAAUCCGGUCGGGGGACACUGUUAGGUGGGCAGUUUGACUGGGGCGGUCGCCUCCUAAAAGGUAACGGAGGCGCUCAAAGGUUCGUUCAGCACGGACGGAAACCGUGCAGUGAGUGUAAACGCAUAAACGAGCCUAACUGCGAGACCGACGGGUCGAGCAGUAACGAAAGUUGGAGUUAGUGAUCCGGCGGUAUGUGAGUGG